RNAcentral lists this ribosomal RNA (446 nucleotides) under uncultured bacterium. RNAcentral describes it as "partial 16S ribosomal RNA". It matches the Rfam family "Bacterial small subunit ribosomal RNA", at positions 29 to 522 of the family's 1533-position model. The record is from RNAcentral.
AACGAACGCUGGCGGCAUGCCUAACACAUGCAAGUCGAACGAGAUCUUCGGGUCUAGUGGCGCACGGGUGCGUAACGCGUGGGAAUCUGCCCUUUGGUUCGGAAUAACAGUUGGAAACGACUGCUAUACCGGAUGAUGACGAAAGUCCAAAGAUUUAUCGCCAGAGGAUGAGCCCGCGUAGGAUUAGCUAGUUGGUGUGGUAAAGGCGCACCAAGGCGACGAUCCUUAGCUGGUCUGAGAGGAUGAUCAGCCACACUGGGACUGAGACACGGCCCAGACUCCUACGGGAGGCAGCAGUGGGGAAUAUUGACAAUGGGCGAAAGCCUGAUCCAGCAAUGCCGCGUGAGUGAUGAAGGCCUUAGGGUUGUAAAGCUCUUUUACCCGGGAUGAUAAUGACAGUACCGGGAGAAUAAGCUCCGGCUAACUCCGUGCCAGCCGCCGCCGUA